RNAcentral lists this ribosomal RNA (484 nucleotides) under uncultured bacterium. Its description in RNAcentral is "partial 16S ribosomal RNA". It matches the Rfam family "Bacterial small subunit ribosomal RNA", at positions 30 to 507 of the family's 1533-position model. The record is from RNAcentral.
AUUGAACGCUGGCGGCAGGCCUAACACAUGCAAGUCGAGCGGAUGAAGGGAGCUUGCUCCUGGAUUCAGCGGCGGACGGGUGAGUAAUGCCUAGGAAUCUGCCUGGUAGUGGGGGAUAACGUCCGGAAACGGGCGCUAAUACCGCAUACGUCCUGAGGGAGAAAGUGGGGGAUCUUCGGACCUCACGCUAUCAGAUGAGCCUAGGUCGGAUUAGCUAGUUGGUGGGGUAAAGGCCUACCAAGGCGACGAUCCGUAACUGGUCUGAGAGGAUGAUCAGUCACACUGGAACUGGGACACGGUCCCGACUCCUACGGGAGGCAGCAGUGGGGAAUAUUGGGCAAUGGGCGGAAGCCUGGUCCAGCCAUGCCGCGUGUGUGAAGAAGGUCUUCGGAUUGUAAAGCACUUUAAGUUGGGAGGAAGGGCAGUAAGUUAAUACCUUGCUGUUUUGACGUUACCAACAGAAUAAGCACCGGCUAACUUCGUG